UACGAAGGGGGGCUAGCGUUGCUCGGAAUCACUGGGCGUAAAGGGCGCGUAGGCGGACUUUUAAGUCAGGGGUGAAAAUCCCAGAGCUCAACUCUGGAACUGCCUUUGAUACUGGGUAUCUCGAGUAUGGAAGAGGUGAGUGGAAUUCCGAGUGUAGAGGUGAAAUUCGUAGAUAUUCGGAGGAACACCAGUGGCGAAGGCGGCUCACUGGUCCAUUACUGACGCUGAGGUGCGAAAGCGUGGGGAGCAAACAGG
This 255-nucleotide ribosomal RNA is filed under the name uncultured bacterium. RNAcentral describes it as "partial 16S ribosomal RNA". It matches the Rfam family "Bacterial small subunit ribosomal RNA", at positions 524 to 776 of the family's 1533-position model. The record is from RNAcentral.